Molecule: unclassified non-coding RNA, 310 nt
Filed under: Hevea brasiliensis (rubber tree)
Lineage: Eukaryota; Viridiplantae; Streptophyta; Magnoliopsida; Malpighiales; Euphorbiaceae
Source: RNAcentral
GUGAUGUGUACAGCUUUGGGGUUGUGCUACUUGAAGUGCUAUCUGGCAGGCGAGCUAUAGAUAGAAACAAGCCAUCUGGAGAACAAAAUUUAGCCAGGUGGGCAAGGAGCACUAUCAACAAGCACAAAUUUUCCCAAGUUUUGAAUCCUGCCAUUUUAGGAAAGUACUCCAUAACAAGUGUGAUAAAAGUGGCUCAACUUGCAUCUCAAUGCGUGUCAGAGGAGCCAAAGUCUCGGCCAAAGAUGAAAGAUGUGGUAGAAAUUUUCGAAUUACUUCUAGAAUCCAAUGACAAUGAGGAAUGCAAAGGCUC